RNAcentral lists this transfer RNA (73 nucleotides) under Lacticaseibacillus rhamnosus. RNAcentral describes it as "tRNA-His". It matches the Rfam family "tRNA". From Rfam's summary of the family: Transfer RNA (tRNA) molecules are approximately 80 nucleotides in length. Their secondary structure includes four short double-helical elements and three loops (D, anti-codon, and T loops). Lineage: Bacteria; Bacillati; Bacillota; Bacilli; Lactobacillales; Lactobacillaceae. The record is from RNAcentral.
UCGCGGUAGCUGAGAGGUCCAGCGCCUGAUUGUGACCCAGGAGACCAGAGGUUCGAUUCCGCUCCGCGAACCA